CCCCGGGUAGCGUAGCGGUAUCGCGGCCGGCUGUAGCUCGAAGCGCACGGCGAGAGGGGUAAAUCCCUGCUGUGAAGCCGUGUCAGCCGGCUGGAAACCGGCAACGCGUCUAAGACGCGCCGGAGGGUCCCGGGUUCAAGUCCCGGCCCGGGGA
This 154-nucleotide transfer RNA is filed under the name Infirmifilum uzonense. RNAcentral describes it as "Thermofilum uzonense tRNA". It matches the Rfam family "tRNA". Rfam says of the family: Transfer RNA (tRNA) molecules are approximately 80 nucleotides in length. Lineage: Archaea; Thermoproteati; Thermoproteota; Thermoprotei; Thermofilales; Thermofilaceae. The record is from Rfam by way of RNAcentral.